This 253-nucleotide ribosomal RNA is filed under the name uncultured bacterium. RNAcentral's name for it is "partial 16S ribosomal RNA". It matches the Rfam family "Bacterial small subunit ribosomal RNA", at positions 524 to 776 of the family's 1533-position model. The record is from RNAcentral.
UACGGAGGGUGCGAGCGUUAAUCGGAAUCACUGGGCGUAAAGCGCACGUAGGCGGCCAAGUAAGUCAGCGGUGCAAGCCCUCCGCUUACCGGAGGAACUGCCGUUGAUACUGCAUGGCUUGAGUUUGUGAGAGGAUAGCGGAAUUCCAGGUGUAGGAGUGAAAUCCGUAGAUAUCUGGAGGAACAUCGGUGGCGAAGGCGGCUAUCUGGCGCAAUACUGACGCUGAGGUGCGAAAGCGUGGGGAUCAAACAGG